Ictidomys tridecemlineatus (thirteen-lined ground squirrel) is the source of this 69-nucleotide non-coding RNA. The record is from Rfam. NCBI's taxonomy places the organism in Eukaryota, Metazoa, Chordata, Mammalia, Rodentia, Sciuridae.
GGGGUUGUGGCUCAGCGGUAGAGCACUCGCCUCACAAGUGCAAGACCCUGGGUUCGAUCCUCAGCACCA